This 483-nucleotide ribosomal RNA is filed under the name Enterobacter sp. YC59A. RNAcentral's name for it is "bacterial SSU rRNA". It matches the Rfam family "Bacterial small subunit ribosomal RNA", at positions 35 to 513 of the family's 1533-position model. The record is from RNAcentral. Lineage: Bacteria; Pseudomonadati; Pseudomonadota; Gammaproteobacteria; Enterobacterales; Enterobacteriaceae.
GGCUUGCGGCAGCUACCAUGCAGUCGAGCGGUAACACAGGGAGCUUGCUCCCGGGUGACGAGCGGCGGACGGGUGAGUAAUGUCUGGGAAACUGCCUGAUGGAGGGGGAUAACUACUGGAAACGGUAGCUAAUACCGCAUAACGUCGCAAGACCAAAGAGGGGGACCUUCGGGCCUCUUGCCAUCAGAUGUGCCCAGAUGGGAUUAGCUAGUAGGUGGGGUAACGGCUCACCUAGGCGACGAUCCCUAGCUGGUCUGAGAGGAUGACCAGCCACACUGGAACUGAGACACGGUCCAGACUCCUACGGGAGGCAGCAGUGGGGAAUAUUGCACAAUGGGCGCAAGCCUGAUGCAGCCAUGCCGCGUGUAUGAAGAAGGCCUUCGGGUUGUAAAGUACUUUCAGCGGGGAGGAAGGUGUUGAGGUUAAUAACCUCAGCAAUUGACGUUACCCGCAGAAGAAGCACCGGCUAACUCCGUGCAAGGG